This is a long non-coding RNA of Carassius auratus (goldfish), 220 nucleotides long. RefSeq lists it as uncharacterized. The transcript is spliced from 3 exons. The record is from RefSeq and is a predicted model, not a curated record. NCBI's taxonomy places the organism in Eukaryota, Metazoa, Chordata, Actinopteri, Cypriniformes, Cyprinidae.
CGGUAAUCGGAAGUCUACUGGACGAAUGCGGGAACGUUGCGAUAUUUCCUGCUUAAUAUUUUCAGGCACAAUGAAUGAUAUUAAGGGCAGGUGCGCCACAUUGGGGGAAGAUGCAAAGAAAAAAUACAUUCAAGAGGCAGCAGCACUGAGGGCACAUGAGAUGGAGGCAAUUUGUGCUGUGUCUGCCGCAUCCAUUUUUAUGAUAAGAAGAAGAAUGCAA